This 348-nucleotide unclassified non-coding RNA is filed under the name soil metagenome. RNAcentral's name for it is "partial contains 5.8S ribosomal RNA, internal transcribed spacer 2, and large subunit ribosomal RNA". The stretch from base 1 to 120 matches the Rfam family "5.8S ribosomal RNA", at positions 35 to 154 of the family's 154-position model. The record is from RNAcentral.
GAUGAAGAACGUAGCGAAAUGCGAUAAGUAAUGUGAAUUGCAGAAUUCAGUGAAUCAUCGAAUCUUUGAACGCACAUUGCGCCCGCCAGUAUUCUGGCGGGCAUGCCUGUCUGAGCGUCAUUUCAACCCUCAUGCCCCUAGGGCGUGGUGUUGGGGAUCGGCCAAAGCCCGCGAGGGACGGCCGGCCCCUAAAUCUAGUGGCGGACCCGUCGUGGCCUCCUCUGCGAAGUAGUGAUAUUCCGCAUCGGAGAGCGAUGAGCCCCAGCCGUUAAACCCCCAACUUUCCAAGGUUGACCUCAGAUCAGGUAGGAAUACCCGCUGAACUUAAGCAUAUCAAUAAGCGGAGGA